CAUAAUAAAGUUACUUGGCCCCACAAACUUCUUUUUUUUUGUGGUAAGGGUACAUACUAAUAUAGAAACGCAAAGAAAUAGUAGCACAAGGGCACAGGGUUCAGCCCGGGUUAAUUAUAAAAGAGUGACUUAAUUUUUCAGCUAAGGAUUGAGCAUUUGAAUUUAUAUGUCUUUCAAAAUAAGUUCCUCUCAUGUCUUCUCCCAAGUCUUGAUGAACAUACAUAGGUGGAACUAGCAAAAGAUGGGCCUCUUCAAGGUAGUUUGAGGCCGCCCCAUGUGUGGCGAGCUUGUCCGUGACCUGAUUCUGUACCCUAAAGCAAUGGUGGACUGCUGGGCAGCCCGCCUCUCUUAGCUU
Molecule: long non-coding RNA, 355 nt
Filed under: Capsicum annuum
Lineage: Eukaryota; Viridiplantae; Streptophyta; Magnoliopsida; Solanales; Solanaceae
Description: long non-coding RNA (CANN_LNC016048)
Source: RNAcentral